Molecule: ribosomal RNA, 253 nt
Filed under: uncultured bacterium
Lineage: Bacteria
Description: partial 16S ribosomal RNA
Rfam family: Bacterial small subunit ribosomal RNA
Source: RNAcentral
GACAGAGGUGCCAAGCGUUAGGCGGAAUCACUGGGCUUAAAGCGUGUGUAGGCGGAAUUCUAAGUACCUUGUGAAAUCCCACAGCUCAACUGUGGAACUGCUCGGUAUACUGGUUUUCUUGAGCCACUUAGGGGCUGUCGGAACAAGCGGUGGAGCGGUGAAAUGCGUAGAUAUCGCUUGGAACGCCGAAGGUGAAAACAGGCUGCUGGGGUUGCGCCGACGCUGAGACACGAAAGCCAGGGGAGCAAACGGG